GAUGAACGCUGGCGGCGUGCUUAACACAUGCAAGUCGAACGAUGAAGCCCAGCUUGCUGGGUGGAUUAGUGGCGAACGGGUGAGUAACACGUGAGUAACCUGCCCUUAACUCUGGGAUAAGCCUGGGAAGCUGGGUCUAAUACCGGAUAGGAGCGUCCACCGCAUGGUGGGUGUUGGAAAGAUUUAUCGGUUUUGGAUGGACUCGCGGCCUAUCAGCUUGUUGGUGAGGUAAUGGCUCACCAAGGCGACGACGGGUAGCCGGCCUGAGAGGGUGACCGGCCACACUGGGACUGAGACACGGCCCAGACUCCUACGGGAGGCAGCAGUGGGGAAUAUUGCACAAUGGGCGAAAGCCUGAUGCAGCGACGCCGCGUGAGGGAUGACGGCCUUCGGGUUGUAAACCUCUUUCAGUAGGGAAGAAGCGAAAGUGACGGUACCUGCAGAAGAAGCACCGGCUAACUACGUG
RNAcentral lists this ribosomal RNA (466 nucleotides) under uncultured bacterium. Its description in RNAcentral is "partial 16S ribosomal RNA". It matches the Rfam family "Bacterial small subunit ribosomal RNA", at positions 28 to 507 of the family's 1533-position model. The record is from RNAcentral.